GGGUUCGGCCGCCGAACGUGUUGAGGAGGUGGUUUCGGCUGCCUAAACCUGCCCCCGAAGGAUGGGACUUUCGUCUCUGGAGGGGAGGUUCGGCCGCCGAAGGUGCCGCCGAAGGUGGAGACUUUCGUCUCUGGAGUAUGGUUUGGCCCCCGAACUUUGCCUCCGAAGGCUUCGGCCGCCGAAAGAGGAGAUUCGGCCGCCGAAGGUAUGCGAGUUUCGUCUCUGGACAGGGUAUUCGGCCGCCGAACCUGCCGCCGAAUGUGUUCUGUCCAGCCUUCUUUUGCAUGCUUUGUGUG
This 296-nucleotide long non-coding RNA is filed under the name Manihot esculenta (cassava). RNAcentral describes it as "long non-coding RNA (MESC_LNC005109)". The record is from RNAcentral. Lineage: Eukaryota; Viridiplantae; Streptophyta; Magnoliopsida; Malpighiales; Euphorbiaceae.